Oryctolagus cuniculus (rabbit) is the source of this 5795-nucleotide non-coding RNA. The record is from RefSeq and is a predicted model, not a curated record. NCBI's taxonomy places the organism in Eukaryota, Metazoa, Chordata, Mammalia, Lagomorpha, Leporidae.
CACCCCGCGCUCGCCUGCGCCCGUCCCCGCACCCGCCGCGGCCAGGCGCCUGCGACCGCGGAGGACGCGGCUGUCGCGGGCGUGCGGGCGGCGGAAGGAGUGGACAGAGGGGCGCGCUGGCCCGAGGGCCGCUCGGCGGUGGCAGGGCGAGGGACACUGCCCAGCAGACGCGGGUCGCGUGGGCAGCAGCGGCUUUUUGGCGGCGCAGUGCCCACGCAGGCUGGCUGGGGCCGGCCUAGGAGAGUUGGUGUCUUGGGGGGGAUUUUCCCGGUCACUGCGUGGCCGCCCAGACGCCCGCAGUAGCCAGGGUCGGGCUGGGGGGAGCCAGGAGCCUGCGUCUCCCGUGGGGGCGGCAGGGACCGGCUGCCCCGACCACCCGGCCGCCCCCGCCCAGGGCGCAUGGUGGCAGGGCCGGGAGAGCCGCGGGCGCCUGGACCGGGUGUGGGAGCGCUGGCCGGCCGGCUGCUCCCGUCCCGGGCCCCAGCAGCGCCCUCCCCCGCCGUGCAGGUGCUGCGAGCGCCCGGUCAGGGUGCAGCGGCCUCCUCGGACAAGAUGGACCCAGAGCGGGCGCUGAGUGUACGGGCAGCUUCGGCUGGGGGUGUGCGUGCGCUGUGUGCCGGGGCCAGGGGAGGCCGUCCCCGCGUGUGGUGACCGCUGUCUCCCAGGACGUCCCCGCGUGUGGUGACCGCUGUCUCCCAGGACGUCCCCGCGUGUGGUGACCGCUGUCUCUCAGGACGUCCCCGCGUGUGGUGACCGCUGUCUCUCAGGACGUCCAUGCGUGUGGUGACCGCUGUCUCACAGAGAACAUCCCCACGUGUGGUGACCGCUGUCUCAGGACACCCCGUGUGUGGUGACCGCUGUCUCUCAGGACGUCCAUGCGUGUGGUGACUGCUGUCUCGGGACAUCCCCGCGUGUGGUGACCGCUGUCUCCCAGGACGUCCCCGCGUGUGGUGACCGCUGUCUCAGGACACCCCACGUGUGGUGACCGCUCUCUCUCAGGACGUCCCCGUGUGUGGUGACUGCUCUCUCUCAGGACGUCCCCGCGUGUGGUGACCGCUGUCUCUCAGGACGUCCCCGCGUGUGGUGACCGCUGUCUCCCAGGACGUCCCCGCGUGUGGUGACCGCUGUCUCUCAGGACGUCCCCACGUGUGGUGACCGCUGUCUCACAGAGGACGUCCCCGCGUGUGGUGACCGCUGUCUCCCAGGACGUCCCCGUGUGUGGUGACCACUGUCUCAGGACGUCGCCGUGUGUGGUGACCGCUGUCUCCCAGGACGUCCCCGCGUGUGGUGACCGCUGUCUCAGGACGUCCCCGCGUGUGGUGACCGCUGUCUCCCAGGACGUCCCCAGCGUGUGGUGACCGCUGUCUCCCAGGACGUCCCCGCGUGUGGUGACCGCUGUCUCCCAGGACGUCCCCGCGUGUGGUGACCGCUGUCUCCCAGGACGUCCCCGCGUGUGGUGACCGCUGUCUCCCAGGACGUCCCCGCGUGUGGUGACCGCUGUCUCCCAGGACGUCCCCGCGUGUGGUGACCGCUGUCUCCCAGGACGUCCCCGCGUGUGGUGACCGCUGUCUCUCAGGACGUCCCCGCGUGUGGUGACCGCUGUCUCCCAGGACGUCCCCGCGUGUGGUGACCGCUGUCUCACAGGACGUCCCCAUGUGUGGUGACUGCUGUCUCACAGGACGUCCCCGUGUGUGGUGACUGCUGUCUCACAGAGGCCAUCCCCGCGUGUGGUGACCGCUGUCUCAGGACGUCCCCGUGUGUGGUGACCGCUGUCUCGGGACGUCCCCAUGUGUGGUCACUGCUGUCUCGGGACGUCCCCAUGUGUGGUCACUGCUGUCUCGGGACGUCCCCAUGUGUGGUCACUGCUGUCUCGGGACGUCCCCAUGUGUGGUCACCGCUGUCUCAGGACACCCCAUGUGUGGUCACUGCUGUCUCGGGACGUCCCCGUGUGUGGUCACUGCUGUCUCAGGACACCCUAUGUGUGGUCACUGCUGUCUCGGGACGUUCCCAUGUGUGGUCACUGCUGUCUCAGGACACCCCGUGUGUGGUCACUGCUGUCUCGGGACGUCCCCGGGUGUGGUGACCGCUGUCUCAGGACACCCCGCGUGUGGUCACUGCUGUCUCAGACACCCUGUGUGUGGUCACUGCUGUCUCAGGACACCCCGCGUGUGGUGACCGCUGUCUCAGGACACCCCGUGUGUGGUCACUGCUUUCUCAGGACCUCCCCGUGUUUGGUGACCGCUGUCUCAGGACACCCCCGUGUGUGGUCACUUCUGUCUCAGGACACCCUGUGUGUGGUCACCGCUGUCUCAGGACGUCCCUGCAUGAGGUCACUGCUGUCUCGGGACCUCCCCAUGUGUGGUGACCGCUGUCUCAGGACGUCCCCACGUGUGGUCACUGCUGUCUCGGGAUGUCCCCGCGUGUGGUGACCGCUGUCUCUCAGAUAUCCCCGGGUGUGGUGACCGCUGUCUCAGGGGUUGGUGUGAGCCCUGUUGUGAAAGUGCACUGGGUUCUGGCUUGCACAGGGCUGGAGAGGGAGGAGGAGCCGCCUUCGUCUGGUGCGCAUGUUCUGGACUGUGCAUGGGAACCUGUGGUCCUGUCCACUGGAGCUCCUGGCUAGAGUGAGCUGUGCUGGCUGCGUGUUUGCAUUUCGUUCUGCCGCACGGCGGGGGAACGAGCCGCUCGUUAGAACUGGAGGUGUCGUUGGACCACAGCAGAGCGUCGGGCACACAGAUGACCUGGCUUAAAGCCGAGCUGCCCAAAACACAACUGUUGGCACAGCCGGCUCCGCCAGAGCCUCCCACUGGGCGUCCCUCUGCUGCGUCCGGCCAAGCCCCAGCACCCAGGUGUGGGCUCCCGUCAGGAGGCCUGGCCCUGCACCGCCACCUCCGGGGUGUCACGGGCAGGAGUCCAGCGUCCUUUCUGGUGAGAAGUCCGCUCGUUUCCUUCCUCGCUUCUCCCUGAGAGAGCUCCCAUCCACGGUCCACUCCCAGAAGCCAGCCACAAACUCCGCCCCGCUCUGCCACCCGCUGCUGCUGCCUCCCAGGGUCUGGAGUCGGACCCAGAGCUGGGAAUGGGACCCAAGCACUGUGUGGGACGUGGGCACCUCGACCACACGGCCCAGUGCUGUCCCCACUGAGCCACUGACACUCCGUCAGGUGGGCCUCAACCCGUGCGCACUCUCAGCUGGUCCUCAUGAGUGGCCACGGGCUCCCACGUGUCUGAAACGUGGGGAGGUAUGGUCAGGCUCACCGGAGGCCUCUGCCCUCAGUAGCCCGAUGACGCUGCCGUCCUCCCCGCUGGGCGUGGCUGGGUGGCCGCUCUGACACCCGACACAGACCUGGCUCCAGGGCACCUGGGACGCCAGGGCUGACAGGAGCAGGGACAGGUUGGUUUAGCACGGAGCUUCUUCAGAAACACAGGAGGCACUGCCUGUGGGCCCUCGGGAAGCGAGGGCUCAGACUUUGGGCGGCUGUGGGGGAGCCAGGGGCAGUGUGUGGUGCAGGACAGUGGCCUGGGCCUGGGAGAAGGGGUGCAGCUCCUAGCUGGUUCUGUGCUGUGUGCACGAGUGAACAGACCACACUGGCAUCCUCUUCCUACUGCCACGUCUGCUGGUUUCCUCUCCAGGAAGCGAAAAAUGAGUGGACGGGCCAGGGCCAGAGCCCGGGGCAGGGCCCGCGGGCAGGAGACGGCGCAGCACGUGGGGGCCGCCACCAGUCAGCCGCCUGGGUUCGUCCCGCCCAGACCUCAGCAGCCGCUGGCAGAGGGCGAGCUGGUGGGCCGAGGGCGACAGCGAGGAGCAGCAGGAGCAACAGCCAAGUCGCAAGGUGAAGGAGCGAGCGGCCUGCAUAGCCGUGGAGUGCGUGGUCGCUGCCGGGCCCUGACACACAGGGGCCCGCAGCAGGCAGGACCCGGCGUCUCCCCAGCCCGUGCCCCCAGACCUCCCCACAGGAGAGAGGGCACGCGCUGUGGACCGACUCCCUCGGCUGAGUCCUGAGUGCCUGACGGGCCGUACUCAGAAUGUUGUCUUGACAUCUGCAGCAGUUCUGGCCCAACUGGGGACAACGUCAGCGUCCCCCCUCCAUCCAGCAGGCUUCCUGUACGUCAGGGUGGCUAAGCGAGUCUCAGAGGCGGAGCCAGGGCCGCGUCCUGGCCGCUGGUCGAGUCAGCGGCGGUUCUGAUUUCCAGCACUCUGCUUUCUCACUGGCCUGUUGCAAAGCUGGGUAACUGGGGUCGUUGGGCUGAGGGUCUCCUGUACUUACGGAUGUGGUCCCAGCACGGGAGAAAACAGAGACAGGUGGGGAAACAGGUCAUGGAGUCAGCGUCCCCUGCCUGGGGAGUCGGGCACUGGCUCCCCACAUCCUGUCGAUGCCGUGGGCGUCACCGGGGGCAGCGUGGGAAGGCAGCCUGGCUGCAGGGAGUGCGUUCACUGCUCCGCGCGUCCUGGCCUGCUCACUUGUGCUCACAUGUGUGCAAGCUGGCGGGAACCGUGCGGAAGAUGCGAGAGGGCAGCAGAGGCCCGGGGACGCCAGCACAGCCUGACGUGGGCCGCAGCCCUGCGUCGUUUUACUUGGUAACGGGUACGUGUCUGCUCAGUACCACCUCCGUCUGCUGGCUCCUCCCCAGUGCCUGCUGAGACGUGGAGGGGGCUCAGCCCGGUCUUCCGUGGGGUGGGGAGUCAGACAUCGAGGGUCUGCACUAGCAGGAAGCUGGAGCCGGGAGCAGGCCAGGACAGCCAUCGCACUGCCUUAUCUGAUGGCUCUGUGUUCCUGGCACUUGGUGACAGCUGGCCUGUGUCACGGAGUCCUGUGUGAGCACUGGGCCGUGUAGAGUGAGUCUCACAGGCAAGACUGAGGGAAUAACCCAAAGCAGAAGCACCCAGCCAGUGCACUCAGGUAAAGCCGGCCACUCUGUCAGUGGCGUACUCCGCGGGCUAUGCCCAAUGAAAACGAGGUCCAAAAUAGCAUUAGCCUGUGCUUUAUUUAAAAAAAAAAUGUUUAAAGAUUGAUUUAAAAGAGUUGGAGAGAGAGAGAAGGAGGUAAAUCUUCCAUCCUCUGAUUCACUCCCCAGGUGGCCACAGCGGCCAGGGCUGGGCCAGGCUGCAGCCAGGAGCUUCCUGGGGUCCCCCAUGUGGAUGCAGGGGCCCUGGCACUUGGCCAUCUCCGCUGCUUUCCCAGGUGCAUUAGCAGGGAGCUGGGUCAGAAGUGGAGCAGCCGUGUGGGAUGCCAGCACUGCAGGCAAUGGCUUUGCCUGCCACACCACGCCGCUGGCUUCUAUCCGGGUUUUUAAUAAAUACAUGUUAUGUGUAUAUUUCCUAUAUUUACAGAAAAUGUUGAAAAGAGUUCAUGGGUCUUCACGUGAGGAGUUAAGCUGCCGGAUAAGAUCUGUUGUUUGGUGGAUCCGAUUCCUUAGCGGUAGAACGUUUUGUUUUCUAAGUGGAGGUGCCUGAUGGUUAAAACGUGCACUUCGCCCUCUAGUCCUGCCGCCGCGUCCCUCUGAAACUCCAGUGUGACUUGUUCACCUGCGUUCAGCGUACACAGCAAAGUGUCAUUGAAAGAAAGACUACAGAAACACAUGCUGGAGCUGUUGAAGUGGUAGACUUCUAAUACCACCUUAAAACAGAAGAACGCCCAUUUCUUACACGUCCCAGGUGUCAGUCCUCACUAACACUGAGUUUAGAAAAAUACCACUUACUCAAGAACUUAUUUUUUUUAAAGAUUUAUUUAUUUGAAAGAAUUACACAGAGAGAGGAGAGGCAGAGAGAGAGAGAGAGAGAGAGAGAGAGAGAGAGAGAG